GAGAAGGUCCACGCAGCGCAACAAACCCCUUCAACCUCAACCCCAACCUGAACCACUGCGAAUUGAUCGCUCAUGCUCUCUCUCAAUUCCAUUUCUCAAUUCCUUGUUCGAUUCGUUUGUAGCUGUGUUAAAUCCUCCAAUCUCCUCCGUCGCCCUUCCUCCCUUGAGGCAAAGAAAAGAAGGUCUCGGGGUUCAGCCAUGAUUACUCGAUCGAAUCUGGUUGAGCAGUUGAGAGAAUACCAGAUUCGAUCCAAGCACGAGUGGGCUUCCGUCUCCUUCUUCUCUUCUACCUCCAAUAUUUCAUCCUCCAGGGUGGAUGUAGUGAUUUUUGUAAUAUGGGAACUCAUAAUUCUAUCCUUCUUGGUGUUUUCGGCCGUUUCUUUAUAUUUUCGGCAUAUGCAGUUGGCUUU
This 410-nucleotide unclassified non-coding RNA is filed under the name Hevea brasiliensis (rubber tree). The record is from RNAcentral. Lineage: Eukaryota; Viridiplantae; Streptophyta; Magnoliopsida; Malpighiales; Euphorbiaceae.